RNAcentral lists this non-coding RNA (1195 nucleotides) under Pan troglodytes (chimpanzee). The record is from RNAcentral. Lineage: Eukaryota; Metazoa; Chordata; Mammalia; Primates; Hominidae.
UUCUGAGCGGCGCGGAGCUACCACACCCUGCCAGACUCGCCCUUGGGUCCCUGUCUGACGAGCUCUAGGCAAUCUGCCCUCGUUCGGGACACAACCAUCGGUCUCACCCCUCAGUUUCUGCCAGAGAAAAAGGAAAAGUCACCAAGAGGCCUGACCCUGACGGGUGGGGGAGAUGCGCGUGUGGAGUAGCGGGAAGCGACUGAGGAGCGGGGACUGGGCAGCAUUUGAAUGGAUGCGGGUGCCGCUGGCACCCGGGAAGACGCUGGGGGCCGGCGCUGUAGAGCCGGGCAUGGGCUGGGAUGUGUUUGGAUUCCAAUCUGGGCCUGACACCAGUUCAGUGACCUCGGGAAGUUCCCCAACCCUCCGGGCCUGUUUCCUCCCUUUGAAGUGGCGACAGUAGUAGAACCGACCUCGUAGGCUCAUCGGGAGGUCCUGAUGGGAGAACCCAUGCAACUUGCCACCAUAGAGCCAGGCCCGCGGCGAUUGGCUCCUGGUGGGUAUUAAAGACGAGUCGGGAAAGAAGAGCAGGUUGAUAGACUGGAUGCUGCUAUGGUAAUCUGCCUCAGGAAAAUGCCGGACUGUUGUUUGCAAGCUGGUUAAGUGAGCAAAUCUUGGGAAGAUUUCAAGUUUUUAUCUUCAGGAAACUCCCAAGCAUUCUGGAAGCUCUGCAUGUGAGUAAGAACCACUGCUGUUGCUGUUGCUGUAGCUGCCUGAAUCUAUGGCAAAAAGCCAGGAAAAAAAAAUUGCUUCACACCAUGUGCACCGACUCCCCUGGAGCUGGCACCGCCAGGGCGUCUGCAGAGCUAUGUAAGUCGUUCUCCAAGCAGUCUGUCUCUUUGGUAGCUACAGAAACAGUGUUUGUUAUCCUUCAGUUUUCGGUAGACAGGCAAAAAUCUGAUGGCGACAUUCUCUGUUUCUGAAGUUGGAGAGCCAACCAGCAAAACCUUCAGAAAGAAGGCAGCUUCUACCAGAGGGAUCUUGUCUCUUAUUGCUGCUUUCAAUACUUUGGAGCCUCAGUGAGAGGACUCUCUAUGAAACCAUGGAAUUAAAGUUGCCCUUUCAGAUUUUAACCUUGAGAUCAAUGCACAGUGGGUCAAAGUAUAGUUAUUCAAAGUCUUAGUAAAGAGGUAAAAUGGCUCCCUGGUAAGCAAGAUUAUGCUAUAAUCUUAAAAUAGGCUCACACCUGUAAUCCCAG